Molecule: ribosomal RNA, 626 nt
Filed under: uncultured fungus
Lineage: Eukaryota; Fungi
Description: eukaryotic LSU rRNA
Rfam family: Eukaryotic large subunit ribosomal RNA
Source: RNAcentral
CCCGCUGAACUUAAGCAUAUCAAUAAGCGGAGGAAAAGAAACCAACAGGGAUUGCCUCAGUAACGGCGAGUGAAGCGGCAACAGCUCAAAUUUGAAAUCUGGCUCUUUCAGGGUCCGAGUUGUAAUUUGUAGAAGAUGCUUUGGGUGUGGCUCCGGUCUAAGUUCCUUGGAACAGGACGUCAUAGAGGGUGAGAAUCCCGUACGUGACUGGUUGCCUCCGCCCGUGUAAAGCUCUUUCGACGAGUCGAGUUGUUUGGGAAUGCAGCUCAAAAUGGGUGGUAAAUUUCAUCUAAAGCUAAAUAUUGGCCAGAGACCGAUAGCGCACAAGUAGAGUGAUCGAAAGAUGAAAAGCACUUUGGAAAGAGAGUUAAACAGUACGUGAAAUUGUUGAAAGGGAAGCGCUUGCAACCAGACUUGCAUGCGGUUGAUCAUCCGAGCUUCUGCCCGGUGCACUCGAUCGUAUUCAGGCCAGCAUCGGUUUUGGUGGGCGGAUAAAGGCCUUGGGAAUGUAGCUUCCUUCGGGGAGUGUUAUAGCCCUCGGUGCAAUGCGCCCUACCGGGACCGAGGACCGCGCUUCGGCUAGGAUGCUGGCGUAAUGGUUGUAAGCGACCCGUCUUGAAACACGG